This 253-nucleotide ribosomal RNA is filed under the name uncultured bacterium. RNAcentral describes it as "partial 16S ribosomal RNA". It matches the Rfam family "Bacterial small subunit ribosomal RNA", at positions 524 to 776 of the family's 1533-position model. The record is from RNAcentral.
UACGUAGGUGGCAAGCGUUGUCCGGAUUUACUGGGCGUAAAGAGCGCGCAGGCGGUCGUUCAAGUCGCGUGUGAAAGCCCCCGGCUCAACUGGGGAGGGUCACGCGAUACUGAUCGACUCGAAGGCAGGAGAGGGUAGUGGAAUUCCCGGUGUAGCGGUGAAAUGCGUAGAUAUCUGGAGGAACACCGGUGGCGAAGGCGGCAUCCUGGACCGGCAUUGACGCUGAGGCGCGAAAGCUAGGGGAGCAAACGGG